AGAAAGAAAACAAACGCUAUAAGGACAGACCUUAAUGAAGGCAGACAGGAGGAAGACAGUGCAGAGAGCUCUGAGCCUGGCCCAUCUUCAAGGAAUUCUGACACAUCAAACAUAGAACAAAGAAUGAAAAAGCAGGUGAUGUCAUAAUGAACAGAGUCAAGGUGCACAGCUGCAGCCCAGGUGAUGUCAUAGUGAUGUCAUUGAAUAUAGAAAAUUACGGAUCCGCACACACUUUAUCUUCAAGCAGAUGGGGGUUAACCCAAGUUUAUUGUACCACCACUAAGAUCU
Xenopus laevis (African clawed frog) is the source of this 288-nucleotide long non-coding RNA. RefSeq lists it as uncharacterized. Lineage: Eukaryota; Metazoa; Chordata; Amphibia; Anura; Pipidae. The transcript is spliced from 3 exons. The record is from RefSeq and is a predicted model, not a curated record.